RNAcentral lists this non-coding RNA (29 nucleotides) under Mus musculus (house mouse). Lineage: Eukaryota; Metazoa; Chordata; Mammalia; Rodentia; Muridae. The record is from RNAcentral.
UNGCAUUGGAAAGCCACUCUUUGGGUAGC